RNAcentral lists this ribosomal RNA (400 nucleotides) under uncultured bacterium. RNAcentral's name for it is "bacterial LSU rRNA". It matches the Rfam family "Bacterial large subunit ribosomal RNA", at positions 1678 to 2062 of the family's 2925-position model. The record is from RNAcentral.
AUUCUAAGGCGCUUGAGAGAACUCUGGAGGAAGGAACUCGGACAAUUGACACCGUAACUUCGGAAGAAGGUGUGCCUUUAGGUAGGUGAACCUAUUUACGUUGGGGAGCCCAAUGAGGUCGCAGAGAAUCGGUGGCUGACAACUUAGUUUAAAUAAAAACACAGCACUCUGACAAAGACGAAAGUCGACGUAUAGGGUGUGACGCCUGCCCGGUGCUGGAAGAUUAAUUGAUGGGGUGCAAGCUCUUGAUCGAAGUCCCAGUAAACGGCGGCCGUAACAAUAACGGUCCUAAGGUAGCGAAAUUCCUUGUCGGGUAAGUUCCGACCUGCACGAAUGGCGUAAUGAUGGCCACACUGUCUCCUCCAGAGACUCAGCGAAGUUGAAAUGUUUGUGAUGAUGC